This 197-nucleotide ribosomal RNA is filed under the name uncultured bacterium. Its description in RNAcentral is "partial 16S ribosomal RNA". It matches the Rfam family "Bacterial small subunit ribosomal RNA", at positions 335 to 524 of the family's 1533-position model. The record is from RNAcentral.
ACUCCUACGGGAGGCAGCAGUGGGGAAUAUUGGACAAUGGGGGCAACCCUGAUCCAGCCAUGCCGCGUGUGUGAAGAAGGCCUUCGGGUUGUAAAGCACUUUAAGCGGGGAGGAAGGCCUGAUGGCUAAUAUCCAUCGGGAUUGACGUUACCCGCAGAAUAAGCACCGGCAAACUUCGUGCCAGCAGCCGCGGUAAU